CUGGCCUUGUCGUGUUAGUGACUUCUGCUCUGAGUUUAUCAAACAUUUACAGCUGGGGUUAAUGGUUAACCCCUCAUUCCUGGGAUGGGCUUCGCUCUCCCUCCCAGAACGUCAAAAAGAUAGGAGGCACGAAUUCAAAACUCUCAUUUGACUUCUGAGCUGCCCAGGUGAACCGUCAAACACCCCUCUGUUCGGGAUACUCUGGUGAGUCUUCGUGCAAUAUACCCAGAGGUUGUUGGGAAAAGGUUGGUGGUGGGAUCUUUGUACAUUUGCAUUUUAGUAUGAGAAUCAAGAGCCACAAUAUGAUAUAAAGGUUUUCCAUUAGAAACAUAGAACAUAGAAACAUAGAAUGUGACGGCAAAUAAGAACCAUUUGGCCCAUCUAGUCUGCCCAAUUUCCUAAAUACUUUCAUUAGUCCCUAGUCUUAUCUUAUAGUUAGGAUAGCCUUAUGCCUUUUAAAAUGAGUUAAUCAUAAAAGAGACACAUGUGACAAUUUCGUAGUAUAGUUAACCCUAUAUAGCACAUUAGAUUUAAUGCAGGGGUGCCAAAAAGGUAGAUCCCCGGAUGUUUUAAAACUACAGCUUAAUGCUUUGUCAUUCUAAAGACAUUCUAAAGGCAAGCAAAGCAUCAUAGGCGUUGUAGUUCUACAACAUGUGGGGAUCUACCUUUUGAGCACCCCUGAUUUAAUGGCUGGUUGUGAGACAUGAGAAAAAGAAACACGCACAUAUAUAUAUAUAUAUAUAUAUAUAUAUAUAUAUAUAUAUUCCACAUGCAUGUAAAGCAAUUGUGCAGCCACAUACAGAACAUAGUUGCCGAAUAAAGUGAUUUAAUAAUGUCAGUUAUAUAACAGCAGAGAGACAGUAAGAGAGCACAUGCUAUUAAACAAAUUCCUGGCAAAACGUUGCCAAAUCUAUCUAGUUUAGUAGUAAAUAAAUAUCCUGUGUAUACGUCAUUGUGCAAAUAGCAGAAAAAAAACUUACAGAUAUUGUAGGGAGAAAACCAAAAUGAAAUAAUAGAAAUUGUAACUGAAAAGGAAUGACCAAAUAAGGCAAUGCUGGCGAUAUUGUUGUUAGUUGGUAACAAUAAUUGAGAUUUAGAGGGCGACAGACUGAUGCCAUCAUGGUGGCAUUAUGACACACCUUCAUACAGUGAACAGUGCAGCGUUCUGAAGAGAUAAGCAGUGUUCUUGCACAGAAUAUUCUCCUUAAAGGUCACCUAUUAACAUACACUAGAGAGGAGAAUAUUACCGGUUUGAACUUUGCCAUCUGAACACGAGGUGUGUAUCAGUAGCAUGCGUGGCACCUUGAUAGGAUACUGGAGUAGUAGUCAAAAUUUAAUCUGUAUGUAUAUAUCCAUACAUACAUACAUAGGAAAUCAGGCAUUUGACAGCUGGGUUUUUUAUUCUCUCUAUCUUCACUGAGGCUGAUAGAAUGAAGUCUACUCAGCGAACACCUAACUGUACUUAAUUGAAACCUGAAUUGCAAAGUUUAGACUACAAUAACCAUGUCUUGAUUACUGCAGAGCAGGGUGAUUUUUUUUCCACAUUAACAUAUUUUUGCCUAAAUUUUGCAAUUUGGUUUUCUAUUGACUAUAGUUCAGUUUUAAAUUAGAUUACUAUGUGGUAAGUAUUGCAUUAAAAGUAGUCAAACUCACAGUAUUAAAGGCACAUUUUUUCACCCUGAGAUUACUGUUAAUAAUAAUAAUAAUUAAAAAAAAAAACCUUUGAAUGACAGAAGUGUGACCCACACAAUUGCUUUGCAAUCUAUUGGUCACAUCAUUGGCACUCAAAGGGUUCAUAUCUCUAAAGGCAAGGAUAUGAAAGCAACAGAACGUAAUUUCCUUGGAAUAGCGGGUAUCAGAGGCUAUCAAUCUAUAAUAAUGCUGUGAUUUAUAAUUUAUAUUAAUCCUGUGAUGUAUAGGUUAACAUUAAAGUGACAAUUUAGGCACCAUAACAAUUUCAUCAAAAUGGCGUUGUUAUGUUGCCCAAAUCCUUCAGGUUGCACUCUUACUGUAAGGGGUUAAACCGUUCUUGAAUUAUUUAACCCCAAAGCGAGCCUCCAGCGCCGAUUCUACAGGUCCCCCAGAUGGCAUCUAAAUCUCUGUUUCAGGAAGCUCAGAGUGGCGCCAGGCAGGGGUGCCGCUCUUUUGCUAAGGGCCGUCAGCUGGCGCUCUGAGUCAAUCAGUGACUCCCCAUUCACAAAACUGGCUUGAAAAGAAAUGAAGUGCCUGGGGGACCUGAGGAUUAGUGUUUUUUUCUGCAGUGAGGCACUUCAUCAGAAAUGUUUGUGUUCGUGGGCAGCACUCAUUUUUCACUGAGAUAAUUUUUCACUGAGAUAAUAUAGCCUUUUAGUUGUGUAAUCGAUGUUAAUACUGGGUUAAACCUGGGGCGCUUCUGUCUUCCUUCCCUCUUACCUUUGCGCAUUACAUCAUGCACAGGGUAGAGGAGGGAUUAUGUUCACUACAGCUUAACUUCAUGCUGUCAGUAGAUAAAGGUGCGGUUACCGCUGCAGAUCUCACGCGGGCCGCACCUCGAUGUCCGACGGGCUGCGUUUGGCUCGCGGACCCAAAACUAAAGAAAACUGGUCAAUCCCAUAUUUUUUUUACCUUCUACUUACUUUCUACUUAUUCACUGAAGUAAUACUUGCAGGGAAUUAUAAGUAAAUUCAAAGUAAAUUUGAAAUUUAAGGUCAAAAUAGCACAAAUGGAAAAAUUCUUCAAGUCACCUAUUCCUUUCAGUUCGGCUCCUUUGGCCUACAAUAUGAAAUGCACUUUGAAUUUUCUGCAAUUUUCACUUCAGUGAAUAACCCUGUAAUUAUAAUGUUCAUUUUUAGACCGUGCAAUUGGAAAGUGCAUCACAUAAUCCCUUUAUUGUUUUCUAGCAAAAUACUGUUGUACGUAAUUAAGGAUGGAGAUUCACAGGAGAUUGCCCUCCAUUUUAGAUCAGUACUCUGACACCAGAUGAUAGGAGGUCACAAACAGACAAACACAAUGCAGGGCACUGUGCAGUAAUUCAGCACCUUUGAUACAUAUCUUAGUGCAGGCAUAGGCAACCUUCGGCACUCCAGAUGUUUUGGACUACACCUCCCAUGAUGCUUUGCCAGCAUUAUGGGUGUAAAAGCAUUAUGGGGAAUGUAGUCCAUAACAUCUGGAGUGCCGAAGGUUGCCUAUCCCUGGCUUAGUGUUUACAACAUUUGUAACCUUAAAGCAGCACUGUCACUAAAAAUACAUUUCAACUAAUCUGCUACUAUAGAGCCUUCUGUGUCUGAAAUUAUUUUUAUAAAUUUUUUUUUUUUACAAAAUACACAGUGAAAAGUAGGGACUGGGCCGCAGAGGUAGGCAACCUUCAGUGCUCCAGAUGUUGUGGACUACAUCUCCCAUAAUGCUCUUACCGCCAUAAUUCUGGCAAAGCAUCACGGGAGGUGUAGUCCACAACAUCUAGAAUGCAGAAGGUUGCCUAUCCUAAGUGGGCAAAAUCUGAAAGUGGGUGGAGCUUUUAAGUAUGGUUUUGUUUCCGUUGACAAUCAAAUUUAGCCACAACCCAUCAGUGAAAUAAAUCCCACAGAAGGGCAAAAAGCAGACAUCAUGGACAGAGGGGAAACAAAAUGGCUGUACCCAUAAGGAAAGGAAAAUCAACAGAUAUUAAACAUAGGAGAGUAAAGACAUAUUGUCUAAAAUGAUGCAGAAUGACACCAUACUAAGAAAGCAUGAAUUAUCCAUAAUAACACAUUGCCUUCAAAUGGCUUUUAUUUCUGAAAUGUAGCUGGUGUUGAAGAACUGGCUAUUUUAGAAACAUGCAUCUCCCAACAGACUAGGAAACAGUACUUUAAAAUAUUUCCAUAUAUAUAUAUAUAUAUAUAUAUAUAUAUAUAUAUAUAUAUACAAUAAGGUAAGAAUAUUUUGUAAAAGUGUGCACCUUUCCAGUUAAACAAUGCAGAUGUAUUUAUUUUGCAUGCUACAUGGAUGUAUGAUCCUUUUAUCCUACAGCUUUUUCCUAGAAGUAUUUAAUCUAGUGUAAAUACUAUAUGGUGCUAGCAUGGGCCUAGCAACACUGGCAGAGGUUGUAUAUAGGAGAGACAUUUGUAAAUGUGGCACAAAAUAGAACUACCACAAUGUUAUUAUAUAGCAGGGUUUUUUUUUAUUUUACUUAUACUUAAAAAUAAUGUGCAAAUUCCCUGCAUUGUGUCCCUUAGCUUAUUUAUCCAUUAAAUCCACUACUUGCAUUAAAAUAAUUAAAAUCAUAAUUUUUUUGCAUAGUAUCACCUAAAACCUAGAGAUUUUUAUAUAUGUUGUGAUUAUUACAUGAUCUGCUUAUUAUUAUUUUAACACGCAUGUCAUGUUAUUUAAAUCCUGUAAAUCACAGGGAUGACAUCAUUACCUGUAAUUUAUUGGGAAGACAUUAGUCCAAUGAGUUACUAGAUUUAUGGAUUGGGAAGAAACCCGCUUUUUGGAUUUGCAAGCAGAGAAAAGAAAGGGACAGUAGUCUAUUCUCAUGGUCACUGAUAUAUGUAAUGUAAUGAUGGCUAUGACUGAGGACUGACAGGAGUGAGCCAUGGCUGCACUUGCUUGCACUCUAUUUCUGCUCCCAAUAACCAAUGCUUUAAAUAUGCUGACAGCUUAUGGUUAUGCCAGCCAGUUGCCCCCAAAUGUUUCUGGAUAUAUACUUCACCAUGUUCAAAGGCAGUACUCAAUUGUACAGCUCUGCAGUAUGAGGAAAUCAUGCACUGCAAGAAGAAGGUCAAUUAAUCACACAGCAAUCCCUUAGGAACUUCCUCAACUCAUUUCUCCCAGCAGGAUAUGAAUGCUGCAUACUCUAGCAUACUUUCUAUAACCAUCCAUCACCACAUGGAAUUGAUACUUUUCUAGAAACAUUUGGCAGGCUUGUGCUGGUAGGAAAUUGAUUAGUAAAAAAGGAAGCCUGCACUUUCCAUGUGCUCUCCAUGUCUUUUAAUGUGAAGAAGUAAAAACAUGGUUGAUCUGGUAAAGUUAAAGCAGCACAGUGCAGUUUUUGUAGACAGAAGCCUGAUGCGUGCAAACAAGUGAUCAUGGUUUCACAGAGGGGUGUGUAAAGUAAAGAACCAAGGUGUACUACAACCUUUUUAUUGUCCUGCUGGGUGCGGCAGUGUGUACGUGCACAAAGUACACAUUUUAUUGUGUAGAAAUAUGUUAUGGAAAGGCUGUAUCACUGGUGCUUACUGGCAGAGUCAUUAAUAUGGUGUAUUGUCAGGAAUUCAACGUUAAGUUCUAACAUUUGACCAAAAUUGAAAACAUUCACUUUGAAAUCAAUUCACUUUGAUCUCCCAACAAUUCACACUUUAGUAAAUAACUCCAUUUGCGUAAUCAGAACCUGGGAUAUUUUGAACACCUAGUCAUUCAUUCUAAAAUUUCAAAAUACCUAAAGUACAAAAACUAAAUUUCAAGUGUCCCUCUUCAACUUACAGUACCUUUAUGGAACCCAUAUCCUUUUGCCCAUCUUUGAAAACCUAGUACCAUCUCUACAACACUCCACAGCAAAAACAAACCUCAAAACAAAAUAUAUAUAUUUUUUUGAAUUACAAUAAAAUGUUUUAUAACCUAAUAUUUGUGGUUGUUCAUGUUCUGAAUUAUUUAUCCAAUUUAUUAUCCAGGGUGCUUUAAAAAAAUGUGUUUACGGGCAGCUAGUGGUAUAGAAACAGCACAAUAUUUUAUAUAUAAAAUAUUGCGAAAGAGAAAAGCAGACUAGGAGACCAUGUACCCACUUAUAGGACAUGCCUUUGAUGCAUGUUACCGGUGGCAUGUGGAUGGUAUGAUCAAUAAAUGGACGUUUCAGAAAAUGGUGCGUGCAAGGCAGUCUGACCCUGAGCCUUGCCAGCCUGGCAUGUAUAUGCUCUCAGAUAGGCAGAAAUGCAUAAUAAUGGCAAUCAGAUAUACAUGUACUGCACUUCCUGCAGACUAUUCUCUGAUAUACCCAGAAGUGCUUAAACCAGGAAUUUUGGGGUUAAUAGAUGACUUUUUAGGGAUACUUAAUUUUUCCUUUAUUCAUUUAUGGUUUGAAGAAAAAUUGGUGGAAUAAAAUGAUCUAGGCACUACACUUUGUUUUUUUACUUAUUGGCCCUGUAACCUUUAGAAUUUAUCGGACAGAGAACAAUAUAUAUUUGUGGGGUCUCUGAAACCAUUGCACAGGUACUAUUCUUUUUGAAUUCCAUUAUGUUCAUAUUACUUAGUAUUUGUUUUUUUCUUGUUUGAAAGUGUUUAUUGUUAGAGGGACAUCAUGGGACAGUGACGUGACCGCAACACAGAUUCAGUGGGGAUAAGUAUGUUUUUAAUCUCCACUGUGUUGGUCGCCCCAAUAAAUGCUGCAGUAGCCUUUACUUGGGUGUUGGAACAGUGUUUUAAUAAAAAACACUUAUUUGUUGUUCUUUUAACCCUUAUUGGCAUGCCUGCCCCUUUAUUUUGAAUAAAAAAAAAAAAAAAAGGAAACUCACCUGUAAUCCAGCGCUGAGGUACAAGUUCUCCCUGCUGCCUGAGCCUCCUUUUGUCAUCCCACCCUUUCUUACUGCAGAGAGGGAGGGCUCUGCAGCCCUGCACGUACUGACUGCAAGCACCAUGGCAACUUCAAAUCAGUGAAGUGGUGAUAGUUCCUGGACUAACCCUUUAAGAGCAUAAUUGCAUCCAACACUAAGCACUUUUUUUUAGCAUAAUGCAUUCUGCGACAGAGCACAUUUUAAAUAUAUAAUACUUUCCUUGCAGUUUGUUUAAUCAACCUCUUCAGUAUCAAAAACAUGUAUACACGUUUUUACUUGUGUUUGGCACUGCAAAGAAAAAAAAACAAUAUUCAGUUCAUAAUGCGGCAUUUGACUUUCUUUAUACUCUAGGAAAAAUUUUAAGCUUGAGUCUGAGAUGAAUAGUAUAGUCCACCCCCACCUACCAUGCAGUAAAGGUAGCUACAAAGAAUAAAUAUAUUUUUUCUUAAUUGUAGCAGGGAAGGGUGAGUUACAGUCGGAAGAUGUCACUGGGGACUGUGGGUUGCUACAACACUUUUCAAAUCUCUGUACGAAUAUAUACCUGUACAUCAUAUGUUUUACUAAUACAUGAUGUAACUGUACUUACUGUAUAUGGGAAUAUGUUUACAUUAUAUAUCUAUUUUUAAGAAGCUGUAUUGCUAGCUUUGUAUUUAAUGUUUGAAAUAAAUGUUAUAAUAUUUUAAAAACAAAAAGUGCUUGGUAUUGAAGGGUUUAAACUCUAAAAAAAAAACCCUGAAGACACCUCCUUUUAUAAUGUACCAAUUAUUUUUUAAGCAAUAACGAUUUCAAUAUGUUCAGUAUAUCCCCUAUGUCUCACAUUUACAUUCUUUUGUGUUUCUAGGUAUGAGGUCAGUGAGCAUUGAAGACUUCUAGUACACAAAACUUCACUCUUAGACAUGAUGAGGCUCAGGACUUGUAACAGCAACUCCAUGUGGAAAGUGGAUAGAAUAUUCCGGUGGAGAUGCUGUUAUCUGUAUUGGGCUUCCUAUAUUCUUCAAUAGAUCUCCCACAUACGAGGACCGCAUUUUCAUACUGCAAUAAUUUUCUAUUCACGCCAAAACAAAGAAACUGCUUCUACAGCUUGCCUCAAAAACAGGAAUGCUGAUAUAUUUGGAUCCUAUUGGUUAUUUUGACCCAAACUGUCCUAAUUUUAUUAAUUUCCUCAGGUUUGUCUAACAGUGAAGUCAGUAUAUAUAACAAUACUAGAAAGACCCUGCUGUUUUUAAUCAAUUUUGCACCAUUAUUAAAGGAACACUAUAGUUAGGAGUACAAACGUGUAUUCCUAAUCGUAUAUUGUUAACAGACCAUGUUAGGUGGUUGCCCCCCUCACUUACUCCCCUUAAAUAAGUAUAAAACACAUUUUUGUUUCCAGCGCCCCUGGUUCUGUCGAUUGCUGGCUCCACCUCUUGCUAUCUCAGCCAAUCCAAUGUUUUCCAGAAUUGAUGAUCUCAGCCAAUCCAAU
Molecule: long non-coding RNA, 7962 nt
Filed under: Pelobates cultripes (western spadefoot toad)
Lineage: Eukaryota; Metazoa; Chordata; Amphibia; Anura; Pelobatidae
Rfam family: mir-194 microRNA precursor family (bases 7401-7484)
Source: RNAcentral